GGGGGCGAUCUCCGAGAGGUGUUCAACUGCCGCUUCCAAACUGGCUACGCGGGUUCGAUUCCCGUCGCCCGCU
RNAcentral lists this transfer RNA (73 nucleotides) under Actinomadura luteofluorescens. Its description in RNAcentral is "tRNA-Ser". Lineage: Bacteria; Bacillati; Actinomycetota; Actinomycetes; Streptosporangiales; Thermomonosporaceae. The record is from RNAcentral.